RNAcentral lists this unclassified non-coding RNA (175 nucleotides) under rhizosphere metagenome. Its description in RNAcentral is "partial ribosomal RNA internal transcribed spacer region". The record is from RNAcentral.
GUAGGUGAACCUGCGGAAGGAUCAUUAGUGAUUUGGCCUCCGGGCCUUUAAAACCCAAUCCUCAUACCUCUGUGAACCUGUUGGGCCCCCGGGCCUACCCUUUACAAACACUGUGUAAUGAACGUCUUGUGAUUAUAACCUAAUAAAACUUUCAACAACGGAUCUCUUGGCUCUC